CACCGCGGUUAUACGAGAGGCCCAAGUUGAUAGAUACCGGCGUAAAGAGUGGUUAGGGCACAACUUCUAACUAAAGCCGAACGCCCUCAGAGCUGUUAUACGCACCCGAAGGUAUGAAGAACCACCACGAAAGUGGCUUUACCCCCACCCCCGAACCCACGAAAGCUAUGUCA
Molecule: ribosomal RNA, 173 nt
Filed under: Rondeletia loricata (redmouth whalefish)
Lineage: Eukaryota; Metazoa; Chordata; Actinopteri; Beryciformes; Rondeletiidae
Description: partial 12S rRNA
Source: RNAcentral